Molecule: long non-coding RNA, 302 nt
Organism: Calidris pugnax (ruff)
Lineage: Eukaryota; Metazoa; Chordata; Aves; Charadriiformes; Scolopacidae
Exons: 2
Source: RefSeq, a predicted model, not a curated record
GCUACAGGAGAGCUGAGAGGGACUCUUUGUCAGGAAGGGCAGUGACAGGACAAGGGGAACCCUGAGCAGUCCAAGUCCUGGCUGGGAUCUGGGUGCCAGCUGUUUCACAGACUACAGGAGACAGAGACGUGUCCUAGCGCCAUAUGGUAGUGCUGGAAGGUAAAGGCUAAUAUCAUUAAGGAGAAGAUAUACCUUACUGGCUAAUUUUUGGUGAUGGAAUCAAGUUUUUUUGAUAGAAUGACUGGAAAGAUGUACCUUUGUCAUCAUGCGUUUUAUCCACCCAAGGGUCCUUGUUAAAAAAA